UUGCAAAUUUGUAAAUUCUUCAGAAUGGAACUAAUGGGAGCCCUUCUUUCCGCAGCGGCGGCUCACUGCCCCCUGGCUGGGCAGUGAGUCUGUGGGUU
Microcebus murinus (gray mouse lemur) is the source of this 98-nucleotide unclassified non-coding RNA. The record is from Ensembl. Lineage: Eukaryota; Metazoa; Chordata; Mammalia; Primates; Cheirogaleidae.